RNAcentral lists this ribosomal RNA (245 nucleotides) under uncultured bacterium. RNAcentral's name for it is "partial 16S ribosomal RNA". It matches the Rfam family "Bacterial small subunit ribosomal RNA", at positions 524 to 768 of the family's 1533-position model. The record is from RNAcentral.
UACGUAGGACGCAAGCGUUAUCCGGAUUUAUUGGGCGUAAAGCGCUCGUAGGCGGUUUAAAAAGUCUGAUAUUAAAGCUCCCGGCUCAACCGGGAAAAAGUAUCGGAAACUUUUAGACUUGAGGUAUGCAGGGGCAGAUGGAACAGGUGGUGUAGCAGUGAAAUGCGUAGAUAUCACCUGGAACGCCAAUGGUGAAGACAGUCUGCUGGGCAUAUUCUGACGCUGAGGAGCGAAAGCGUGGGGAG